CCGAACCACAGCAGGAGAGGAUGGACAUGGAUAGUUUCCUCGACGAAGACGCCCCUUGCCCUGCAAAGAAAAAUACAUGUUAAAGGUAAACUGAGUGGCUCCAUCAGUUUUACUUGGCCCAGUACAGCCAGCCUCUUUCCCUUCACCAUUCACAGAACAGUAUGCCUCUGCAAUGCCAACAGAGGUCUUUUCCUUUGCACCCGAGGUUGAUUCCGGAGGCUGAAGAUGUAACUCACACCCUGGUGGCUGUGUGCCGGAACGGACUGCUACAACAACUCUGGCAUGAAAGGAGGACCUUACGCUGUCUACUGGUGUGCUGUGCUUCUUGUCCCAUAUCCUUCUACAUGAUCCUCCUGAGUGUAGCCCAUGGUCAUCUUAUGAGUCUGAAAGUUUAGCUAAGCCAACAGAUCCUCUCUCCAUCAUGUUGGGUGUUACAACAAUAAACUGAAUAGAUGAAUUUGGGAAGAACUGACAACCCUUAUAAA
Molecule: long non-coding RNA, 485 nt
Organism: Odocoileus virginianus texanus
Lineage: Eukaryota; Metazoa; Chordata; Mammalia; Artiodactyla; Cervidae
Source: RefSeq, a predicted model, not a curated record